AAAUAUUAUUUUACUUUGAUGUGCCAGGCAUUUGAAACAUUCAUAAAACUGCCUUGUUUCAAAAACAAUUUUCUCACAGGUACAGAUUCUGUGUCCAGGAUCAGAGACAUGUACAUCACUGCAUUUUCUCUAUAGCUCCCCAUGCUGCAUGCAACCUACUUUGGCACUUUGUCCUUGUCCCACCACCACAACCACACAGGCAGAAACCACCCACAGAUGCAACCGCAAUUAUUGAAAACAUUUGUAGCUUCCCUGACGCUGGUUUGGUGGCUCUGCUACCCCAAGAUAUUCAAUACAUGCAACCAGCCUCUCAGGAAGCAAGCGAAGUUCCAUGCCAGCUGCUCCACACACCAGCAUCUGCUCCAGUCUCUCCUGCAAACACCAAGGCACUUAAAUAUUCUUGGUAAAAUGGAUUUUAUAAUUGCCAUAGGAGUCAAGUGUGAGAAGGUGUUUUUCUCUCAUUACUCAUGAAUUUACUUUAGCACAUAUUUAAUACUCAUAAAUUCAUCUGUAUUUGUUGCCAAGGUUUCAUAAACUGUUUACGUAGAUAAAAGCAGGUUUGAGUUGCCAGAUACUAUGAUAAGAAGCAACUAGACAGUCUGCUUUGACACUGCUUGUUUGAACUAGGAAUAUUGUAUGUCUGUAAACAUUUGGC
Molecule: long non-coding RNA, 655 nt
Organism: Dipodomys spectabilis (banner-tailed kangaroo rat)
Lineage: Eukaryota; Metazoa; Chordata; Mammalia; Rodentia; Heteromyidae
Exons: 3
Source: RefSeq, a predicted model, not a curated record